CAAAUUAUAAAUUUAGUUAAAUUAUUUUAUUUACAAUAAAAUGAAAGUUGUGCAAUUCGACUUGAUUUGA
RNAcentral lists this transfer RNA (70 nucleotides) under Monocellicampa pruni. RNAcentral describes it as "tRNA-Val". The record is from RNAcentral. Lineage: Eukaryota; Metazoa; Arthropoda; Insecta; Hymenoptera; Tenthredinidae.